RNAcentral lists this ribosomal RNA (478 nucleotides) under uncultured Saprospiraceae bacterium. Its description in RNAcentral is "bacterial SSU rRNA". It matches the Rfam family "Bacterial small subunit ribosomal RNA", at positions 28 to 505 of the family's 1533-position model. Lineage: Bacteria; Pseudomonadati; Bacteroidota; Saprospiria; Saprospirales; Saprospiraceae. The record is from RNAcentral.
GAUGAACGCUAGCAGGAGGCUUAAUACAUGCAAGUCGAGGGGUAACGACAGAGCUUGCUCUGGGCGACGACCGGCGAACGGGUGAGUAACGCGUACAUAACCUACCUACAAGUGGAGGAUAGCCCUGGGAAACUGGGAUUAAUACUCCAUAAUAUUACAAUAACUAAUUUGUAAUUAAAGCUCCGGCGCUUGUAGAUGGAUGUGCGUCCCAUUAGCUAGUUGGUGAGGUAAAUGCUCACCAAGGCAACGAUGGGUAGGGGGCGUGAGAGCGUGAUCCCCCACACGGGUACUGAGACACGGACCCGACUCCUACGGGAGGCAGCAGUAAGGAAUAUUGGACAAUGGGCGCAAGCCUGAUCCAGCCAUCCUGCGUGUAGGAUGACUGCCCUAUGGGUUGUAAACUACUUUUAUGAGAGAAGAAAAACCGCUAUUUAUAGUGGCCUGACGGUAUCUCAUGAAUAAGCACCGGCUAACUCCG